AAGAAGUUAAGUGACAGAUAAACACUGUCAGGGCCUCAAGGUGAGCUCACGGACUGUUAUUAUCUUAGUCCUGGUUUUCGACUGACGACCACUUAUGUCAACACAUUCCCCCGGAGAGGUGUUCUGCAGGUAUUCUCCUUCCACAAUGUUAACUGGAGAGAAGGAGAGAUACUCAGAUUAAGUUGUGAAAAGGGUUCUGUAAAGUUCAUUGCACACUUCAUCGUGAAAUGGCUUUUGGAUGAACACCGAAACAGCUGCAUCUGGCGUUCAGCAAGGUAGACCCUCCAUCGUCUCAUGAGAUCACAAGAGCCGCCGUUUGGAUUCGAUUGAAAAUCUAGAUUCACGUGAUGGAGGACGGUAAAACAAAGAGCAAUGGCAACACAAAGGAUGUCAGACUUCACGUGGACGAGAAACCAAACGGUCGCGAAGAAGGUCGGUACUACAUACCAGCUCGUUAUAUACUCACCUUCAUGUCCUUCCUCGGCUUCUUCAACGUGUACUGUCUGCGGGCCAACCUGAGCGUUGCCAUAGUUUCCAUGGUCAAUUCUACCACAAAGGAGAAUGCUAGUGUUACUGAGGAGUGUCCAGAACCGACGAAAGCAAACAACACCAACUCGACCUCAACUACCUCAACAGGAGAGUUCGACUGGGACGAGAAGACUCAAGGGCUGAUACUCGGAGCCUUCUUCUACGGGUACAUCGUGACGCAGAUUCCGGGUGGCUGGCUGGCCGGGAGAUUCGGAGGUAAACGACUGUUUGCGUACGGCCUUCUGUGCACCUCCGUGUUAACCUUGGUGACCCCAUUGGCUGCUCGCGCUGGUGUUGGUGUCGUGGUGGCCGUGCGCGUGCUGGAGGGCAUCGGGGAGGCUGUGACCUUUCCUGCCAUGCACUCCAUGUGGGGAGUGUGGUCGCCGGUCUAUGAACGCAGCAAAGCAGUUGCUUUCAGCCACGGAGGUUCGCAUCUGGGCACGGUGUUCGCCUUAUCGAUUUCUGGCAUUUUAUGUCAAAACGGAUUUGCUGGUGGAUGGCCUUCCGUCUUCUACGUGUUUGGUGCCCUGGGCUGUCUGUGGUUUGUAGGAUGGAUGCUUUUGGUCAGCGAGACACCAGCCACACAUCCCCGCAUCUCGGAUAAAGAGCGGCGCUACAUUGAAAGCAACCUGGGCGCCAAGGCGGAAAGUGUUAACAUUCCAUGGAAGAGCAUCUUAACCUGCAAGGCUUUAUGGGGCACAGCAGCCGGGCACUUCGCGUUCAACUGGGGCUCCUACAGCAUGCUGACCUGUCUGCCCACCUACUUGAAGAAGAUCCUUCAUUACGACGUUAAGGAAGAAGGUUUCUUGUCGGCCGUGCCAUACCUGAUGCUGUGGGUGACUAUGAUCAUUGCUGGAUACUUAGCCGACUAUCUUCGCGGUAAUGGCUACCUGACUACAGUGGCCACCCGUAAGAUCUUCUUCUCUUUAGGUGCAGUGCUUCCCACGGGUCUGUUGAUUGGCACGUGCUUCGUAGGGUGUAACCACACGCUGGCCGUCAUCCUGCUCACGCUGUCUGUGGGAUUUUCGGGAUUCAGUACUGCAGGCUACAUCCCUAACCAUCUUGACAUAGCCCCACGAUUUGCAGGUAUUCUGUAUGGGAUCACCAAUGCUGUCGCUACCAUACCUGGGUUUCUUGGUCCCCAAAUUGUCGGGGUUCUGACAAACAAUAAUCUGCAAGUAGCGUUUCCACCUUUAUCAGCGAUUACAGACGACAAUUGUCAUUGUCCACAUCGUCGCUCUCCCAGCUGGCGUUCAGCAAGGUAGACCCUCCUUCAUCUCGUGGGAUCUCAAGCGCCUCCGUUUGGAUUCGAUUGAUGCGCGUGAUGGAGGACGGUAAAACAAAGAGCAAAGGCAACACAAAGGAUGUCAAACUUCACGUGGACGACAAACCAAACGGUCGCGAAGAAGGUCGGUACUACAUACCAGCCCGAUAUAUACUCACCUUCAUGUCCUUCCUCGGCUUCUUCAACGUGUACUGUCUGCGGGCCAACCUCAGCGUUGCCAUAGUUUCCAUGGUCAAUUCUACCACAUAGGAGAAUGCUAGUGUUACUGAGGAGUGUCCAGAACCGACGAAAGUAAACAACACCAACUCGACCUCAACUACCUCAACAGGAGAGUUCGACUGGGACGAGAAGACUCAAGGGCUGAUACUCGGAGCCUUCUACUAUGGGUAUGUCGUGACGCAGAUUCCGGGUGGCUGGCUGGCCGGGAGAAUCGGAGGUAGACGACUGUUUGGGUACGGGC
This 2273-nucleotide unclassified non-coding RNA is filed under the name Pomacea canaliculata. RNAcentral's name for it is "sialin-like, transcript variant X1". Lineage: Eukaryota; Metazoa; Mollusca; Gastropoda; Architaenioglossa; Ampullariidae. The record is from RNAcentral.